UAAACCGCCGCAGUACCUUGACUGUGCUAAGGUAGCAUAAUCAGUUGGCUUUUAAAUGGAGUCGGGAAUGAAUGGAUUAAUAGGGUAAAGCUGUCUCUUUUGUACUAUAUUGAACUUACUUAUUAGGUGAAAAUGCCUAAAUUUAGAAAAAAGACGAGAAGACCCCAGGAGUUUUUACUAAUGGUUAAGCUAGUUUAACUGUUGUUUUUGUUGGGGCGACAAGGGAGAAGAAUAAACCUCCUUUAUUUAUUUGCCGACGUAGUAUGGGAAAUUAAACUACCCUGGGGAUAACAGCGUAAUUCUUAAGAGCUUGCGACCUCGAUGUUGGACUAGGAABVGAGGCUAGCCGCCUAUUCAUAUUGUUCURUUCGAAC
RNAcentral lists this ribosomal RNA (374 nucleotides) under Elysia viridis. RNAcentral's name for it is "partial 16S ribosomal RNA". It matches the Rfam family "Bacterial large subunit ribosomal RNA", at positions 1924 to 2586 of the family's 2925-position model. Lineage: Eukaryota; Metazoa; Mollusca; Gastropoda; Plakobranchidae. The record is from RNAcentral.